RNAcentral lists this ribosomal RNA (282 nucleotides) under uncultured Staphylococcus sp. Its description in RNAcentral is "partial 16S ribosomal RNA". It matches the Rfam family "Bacterial small subunit ribosomal RNA", at positions 81 to 357 of the family's 1533-position model. The record is from RNAcentral. Lineage: Bacteria; Bacillati; Bacillota; Bacilli; Caryophanales; Staphylococcaceae.
CUCCUUUGACGUUAGCGGCGGACGGGUGAGUAACACGUGGGUAACCUACCUAUAAGACUGGGAUAACUUCGGGAAACCGGAGCUAAUACCGGAUAAUAUUUCGAACCGCAUGGUUCGAUAGUGAAAGGUGGUUUUGCUAUCACUUAUAGAUGGACCCGCGCCGUAUUAGCUAGUUGGUAAGGUAACGGCUUACCAAGGCGACGAUACGUAGCCGACCUGAGAGGGUGAUCGGCCACACUGGAACUGAGACACGGUCCAGACUCCUACGGGAGGCAGCAGGGG